RNAcentral lists this ribosomal RNA (510 nucleotides) under uncultured bacterium. RNAcentral describes it as "partial 16S ribosomal RNA". It matches the Rfam family "Bacterial small subunit ribosomal RNA", at positions 28 to 507 of the family's 1533-position model. The record is from RNAcentral.
GACGAACGCUGGCGGCGUGCUUAACACAUGCAAGUCGAACGAAAAGCGAUGGAAGCUUGCUUCUAUCAAUCUUAGUGGCGGACGGGUGAGUAACGCGUAACCAACCUGCCCUUCAGAGGGGGACAACAGUUGGAAACGACAGCUCAUACCGCAUACGCCCUAAUCUCGGCAUCGAGGAGAGAUGAACGGUGGCCUCUACAUGUAAGCUAUCACUGCAGGAGGGGAUUGCGGCUGAUUAGCUAGUGGGAGGGGUAGCGGCCCACCAAGGAGAUGAUGAGGAGCCGGUCUGAGAGGAUGAACGGCCACAUUGGGACUGAGACACGGCCCAGAGGCCUACGGGAGGCAGCAGGGGGGAAUCUUGCGCAAUGGGCGAAAGUCUGACGGAGCAACGCCGCGGGAGGGAUGACGGCCGUCGGGUUGGAAAGCUCUGUUAAUCGGGACGAAAGGCCUUCUUGCGAAUAGGGAGAAGGAUUGACGGUACCGGAAUAGAAAGCCACGGCUAACUACGUG